Molecule: ribosomal RNA, 504 nt
Filed under: uncultured bacterium
Lineage: Bacteria
Description: bacterial SSU rRNA
Rfam family: Bacterial small subunit ribosomal RNA
Source: RNAcentral
GAGUUUGAUCGUGGCUCAGAUUGAACGCUGGCGGCAGGCCUAACACAUGCAAGUCGAGCGGUAGAGAGAAGCUUGCUUCUCUUGAGAGCGGCGGACGGGUGAGUAAUGCCUAGGAAUCUGCCUGGUAGUGGGGGAUAACGCUCGGAAACGGACGCUAAUACCGCAUACGUCCUACGGGAGAAAGCAGGGGACCUUCGGGCCUUGCGCUAUCAGAUGAGCCUAGGUCGGAUUAGCUAGUUGGUGAGGUAAUGGCUCACCAAGGCGACGAUCCGUAACUGGUCUGAGAGGAUGAUCAGUCACACUGGAACUGAGACACGGUCCAGACUCCUACGGGAGGCAGCAGUGGGGAAUAUUGGACAAUGGGCGAAAGCCUGAUCCAGCCAUGCCGCGUGUGUGAAGAAGGUCUUCGGAUUGUAAAGCACUUUAAGUUGGGAGGAAGGGCAAGUAAAUUAAUACUUUGCUUGUUUUGACGUUACCGACAGAAUAAGCACCGGCUAACUCUGU